This 71-nucleotide transfer RNA is filed under the name Podarcis lilfordi (Lilford's wall lizard). RNAcentral's name for it is "tRNA.Ala". Lineage: Eukaryota; Metazoa; Chordata; Lepidosauria; Squamata; Lacertidae. The record is from RNAcentral.
GGGCCAUAGCUCAGUGGUAGAACAUCUGCUUUGCAGGCAGAAGGUCCCAGGUUCAAUCCUCACCAUCUCCA